AACGCUGGCGGCGUGCUUAACACAUGCAAGUCGAACGCGAAAGGGACUUCGGUCCUGAGUAAAGUGGCGCACGGGUGAGUAACGCGUAGAUAACCUGUCUUCAUGUCUGGAAUAAUACGCCGAAAGGGGUACUAAUACCGGAUAUUCUUGCUUUUCAUAAGUUAUGCAAGCAAAGGUGGCCUCUGCAUAUGCUACUGCAUGAAGAGGGGUCUGCGUACCAUUAGCUAGUAGGUGGGGUAAUGGCCUACCUAGGCGACGAUGGUUAGCGGGUCUGAGAGGAUGAUCCGCCACACUGGCACUGGAACACGGGCCAGACUCCUACGGGAGGCAGCAGUGAGGAAUAUUGCGCAAUGGGGGAAACCCUGACGCAGCGACGCCGCGUGAGUGAAGGAAGGCCUUCGGGUCGUAAAGCUCUGUCAAGAGGAAAGAAGUGUACAAUGGCUAAUACCUGUUGUAUUUGACGGUACCUCCAAAGGAAGCACCGGCUAACUCCGUGCCAGCCGCAGC
RNAcentral lists this ribosomal RNA (507 nucleotides) under uncultured bacterium. RNAcentral describes it as "bacterial SSU rRNA". It matches the Rfam family "Bacterial small subunit ribosomal RNA", at positions 32 to 518 of the family's 1533-position model. The record is from RNAcentral.